RNAcentral lists this ribosomal RNA (497 nucleotides) under uncultured bacterium. RNAcentral's name for it is "partial 16S ribosomal RNA". It matches the Rfam family "Bacterial small subunit ribosomal RNA", at positions 28 to 507 of the family's 1533-position model. The record is from RNAcentral.
GAUGAACGCUGGCGGCGUGCCUAAUACAUGCAAGUCGAGCGAACGGACGAGAAGCUUGCUUCUCUGAUGUUAGCGGCGGACGGGUGAGUAACACGUGGAUAACCUACCUAUAAGACUGGGAUAACUUCGGGAAACCGGAGCUAAUCCCGGAUAAUAUUUUGAACCGCAUGGUUCAAAAGUGAAAGACGGUCUUGCUGUCACUUAUAGAUGCAUCCGGGCUGCAUUAGCGAGUUGGUAAGGUAACGGCUUACCAAGGCAACGAUGCAUAGCCGACCUGGGAGGGGGAUCGGCCACACUGGAACUGGACCACGGUCCAGGGUCCUACGGGAGGCAGCAGUAGGGAACCUUCCGCAAUGGGCGAAAGCCUGACGGAGCAACGCGGCGUGAGUGAUGAAGGUCUUCGGAUCGUAAAACUCUGUUAUUAGGGAAAAACAUAUGUGUAAGUAACUGUGCACAUCUUGACGGUACCUAAUCAGAAAGCCACGGCUAACUACGUG